This 261-nucleotide ribosomal RNA is filed under the name Giardia duodenalis. Its description in RNAcentral is "Giardia intestinalis partial small subunit ribosomal RNA". Lineage: Eukaryota; Fornicata; Diplomonadida; Hexamitidae. The record is from RNAcentral.
CCGGAGCGCGACGCUCUCCCCAAGGACGAAGCCAUGCAUGCCCGCUCACCCGGGACGCGGCGGACGGCUCAGGACAACGGUUGCACCCCCCGCGGCGGUCCCUGCUAGCCGGACACCGCUGGCAACCCGGCGCCAAGACGUGCGCGCAAGGGCGGGCGCCCGCGGGCGAGCAGCGUGACGCAGCGACGGCCCGCCCGGGCUUCCGGGGCAUCACCCGGUCGGCGCGGUCGCGGCGCGCCGAGGGCCCGACGCCUGGCGGAG